AUAUGCUAAGAAUUCAACAGCCA
Molecule: non-coding RNA, 23 nt
Filed under: Rattus norvegicus (Norway rat)
Lineage: Eukaryota; Metazoa; Chordata; Mammalia; Rodentia; Muridae
Source: RNAcentral